GAUGAACGCUGGCGGCGUGCCUAAUACAUGCAAGUCGAGCGAACGGACGAGAAGCUUGCUUCUCUGAUGUUAGCGGCGGACGGGUGAGUAACACGUGGAUAACCUACCUAUAAGACUGGGAUAACUUCGGGAAACCGGAGCUAAUACCGGAUGAUAUUUUGAACCGCAUGGUUCAAAAGUGAAAGACGGUCUUGCUGUCACUUAUAGAUGGAUCCGCGCUGCAUUAGCUAGUUGGUAAGGUAACGGCUUACCAAGGCAACGAUGCAUAGCCGACCUGAGAGGGUGAUCGGCCACACUGGAACUGAGACACGGUCCAGACUCCUACGGGAGGCAGCAGUAGGGAAUCUUCCGCAAAGGGCGAAAGCCUGACGGAGCAACGCUGCGUGAGUGAUGAAGGUCUUCGGAUCGUAAAACUCUGUUAUUAGGGAAGAACAUAUGUGUAAGUAACUGUGCACAUCUUGACGGUACCUAAUCAGAAAGCCACGGCUAACUACGUG
RNAcentral lists this ribosomal RNA (497 nucleotides) under uncultured bacterium. RNAcentral's name for it is "partial 16S ribosomal RNA". It matches the Rfam family "Bacterial small subunit ribosomal RNA", at positions 28 to 507 of the family's 1533-position model. The record is from RNAcentral.